CUAUGCCCUAGAGCUAGUGGAAGACCUAAGAUGGCGGCGUUUGCGCGGGGUGUAACCACUGCGUCCUUACGGGGGUUGCAAGGCGUCCGAAGUAUGAGUCCACUAACAAAAGUCCAGAAACUCGCCAGUUAAUAGUAUUGUGUCUCUUCAAAAUAUCGGAAAAUAAUUUCUUUCUCGCUGAUCGCCUAACUUCUACUGACGAGGCUAGGAAGUUGCAGAAGAUGGAGUUCACUCUUGUUGCCCAGGCUGGAAUGCAAUGGCAUGACCUUGGCUCACUGCAACCUCUGCCUCCCCAGUUCAAGUGGUUCUCCUGCCUCAGCCUCCCGAGUAGCUGGGAUUAGAGGUACUGGCUCCUGUAUCACCCAGCUCUGGAGUUGAAAGAGCUCUUCAUUCCUGAGUCUCCUGUACCACUGAGAAUAGAAAUACAAAAAAAUUCUAAAACUUGUAUGGAACUACAAAAGACAUUAAAUAAUUAAAGUAAUCUUGAGCAACAAGGACACA
This 501-nucleotide long non-coding RNA is filed under the name Pongo abelii (Sumatran orangutan). RNAcentral describes it as "lincRNA". The stretch from base 9 to 143 matches the Rfam family "JPX transcript, XIST activator conserved region 1". Lineage: Eukaryota; Metazoa; Chordata; Mammalia; Primates; Hominidae. The record is from RNAcentral.